AUCCCAAGUGCUUUGCUUAUAGCAAGGCUUUUGUUAUAUGUAAAUAGUAUAGCGAAUAAGUGGUGGGUAAGACUUGUGCCAGCCGCCGCGGUAACACCAGCGCCACAAGUGGCAACCGUCUUUAUUGGGCCUAAAGCGUCCGUAGCCGGAUUGGUAAAUUUUCUGUGAAAUUGUUAGGCUUAACCUAAUGGCAUGCAGAAAACACUGCCAAUCUAGGGAUUAGGAGGAGUCAGAGGUAUUUCUGGGGGAGCGGUAAAAUGCUAUAAUCCUAGAAGGACCUCCUGUGGCGAAGGCGUCUGACUAGAAUGAAUCCGACGGUGAGGGACGAAAGCCAGGGGAGCAAUCCGGAUUAGAUACGAGAAAUCAUGUCUGAUUUCUGGAGUUAUCUCGUAAAUUGCUUAAAAAAAGACUAUUUCGAGUUAAUGAAAGAAGUUGCUAAAUGAUGAUUUACUCGCUAACUACCCGAGUAGUCCUGGCUGUAACCUCUGCGAGCUAGGUGUUACAUAUUCUUCGGGAAUAUGUAGUGUCGUAGUGAAGACGUUAAGCUCGCCGCCUGGGAA
This 560-nucleotide ribosomal RNA is filed under the name uncultured archaeon. RNAcentral describes it as "bacterial SSU rRNA". It matches the Rfam family "Archaeal small subunit ribosomal RNA", at positions 378 to 834 of the family's 1478-position model. The record is from RNAcentral.